GGGAAUUCGAUUAGUUUGAUCCUGGCUCAGGACGAACGCUGGCGGCGUGCCUAAUACACGCAAGUCGAGCGGACAGAUGGGAGCUUGCUCCCUGAUGUUAGCGGCGGACGGGUGAGUAACACGUGGGUAACCUGCCUGUAAGACUGGGAUAACUCCGGGAAACCGGGGCUAAUACCGGAUGCUUGUUUGAACCGCAUGGUUCAGACAUAAAAGGUGGCUUCGGCUACCACUUACAGAUGGACCCGCGGCGCAUUAGCUAGUUGGUGAGGUAACGGCUCACCAAGGCAACGAUGCGUAGCCGACCUGAGAGGGUGAUCGGCCACACUGGGACUGAGACACGGCCCAGACUCCUACGGGAGGCAGCAGUAGGGAAUCUUCCGCAAUGGACGAAAGUCUGACGGAGCAACGCCGCGUGAGUGAUGAAGGUUUUCGGAUCGUAAAGCUCUGUUGUUAGGGAAGAACAAGUGCCGUUCAAAUAGGGCGGCACCUUGACGGUACCUAACCAGAAAGCCACGGCUAACUACGUGCCAGCAGCCGCGGUAAUACGUAGGUGGCAAGCGUCGUCCGGAAUUAUUGGGCGUAAAGGGCUCGCAGGCGGUUUCUUAAGUCUGAUGUGAAAGCCCCCGGCUCAACCGGGGAGGGUCAUUGGAAACUGGGGGACUUGAGUGCAGAAGAGGAGAGUGGAAUUCCACGUGUAGCGGUGAAAUGCGUAGAGAUGUGGAGGAACACCAGUGGCGAAGGCGACUCUCUGGUCUGUAACUGACGCUGAGGAGCGAAAGCGUGGGGAGCGAACAGGAUUAGAUACCCUGGUAGUCCACGCCGUAAACGAUGAGUGCUAAGUGUUAGGGGGUUUCCGCCCCUUAGUGCUGCAGCUAACGCAUUAAGCACUCCGCCUGGGGAGUACGGUCGCAAGACUGAAACUCAAAGGAAUUGACGGGGGCCCGCACAAGCGGUGGAGCAUGUGGUUUAAUUCGAAGCAACGCGAAGAACCUUACCAGGUCUUGACAUCCUCUGACAAUCCUAGAGAUAGGACGUCCCCUUCGGGGGCAGAGUGACAGGUGGUGCAUGGUUGUCGUCAGCUCGUGUCGUGAGAUGUUGGGUUAAGUCCCGCAACGAGCGCAACCCUUGAUCUUAGUUGCCAGCAUUCAGUUGGGCACUCUAAGGUGACUGCCGGUGACAAACCGGAGGAAGGUGGGGAUGACGUCAAAUCAUCAUGCCCCUUAUGACCUGGGCUACACACGUGCUACAAUGGACAGAACAAAGGGCAGCGAAACCGCGAGGUUAAGCCAAUCCCACAAAUCUGUUCUCAGUUCGGAUCGCAGUCUGCAACUCGACUGCGUGAAGCUGGAAUCGCUAGUAAUCGCGGAUCAGCAUGCCGCGGUGAAUACAUUCCCGGGCCUUGUACACACCGCCCGUCACACCACGAGAGUUUGUAACACCCGAAGUCGGUGAGGUAACCUUUUAGGAGCCAGCCGCCGAAGGUGGGACAGAUGAUUGGGGUGAAGUCGUAAGCAAGUAGCC
Molecule: ribosomal RNA, 1521 nt
Filed under: Bacillus subtilis
Lineage: Bacteria; Bacillati; Bacillota; Bacilli; Caryophanales; Bacillaceae
Description: bacterial SSU rRNA
Rfam family: Bacterial small subunit ribosomal RNA
Source: RNAcentral